GAACUGAAGAGUUUGAUCCUGGCUCAGAUUGAACGCUGGCGGCAUGCCUUACACAUGCAAGUCGAACGGCAGCGCGGACUUCGGUCUGGCGGCGAGUGGCGAACGGGUGAGUAAUAUAUCGGAACGUGCCCUAGAGUGGGGGAUAACUAGUCGAAAGACUAGCUAAUACCGCAUACGAUCUAAGGAUGAAAGUGGGGGAUCGCAAGACCUCAUGCUCGUGGAGCGGCCGAUGUCUGAUUAGCUAGUUGGUGAGGUAAAGGCUCACCAAGGCGACGAUCAGUAGCUGGUCUGAGAGGACGAUCAGCCACACUGGGACUGAGACACGGCCCAGACUCCUACGGGAGGCAGCAGUGGGGAAUUUUGGACAAUGGGGGCAACCCUGAUCCAGCAAUGCCGCGUGUGUGAAGAAGGCCUUCGGGUUGUAAAGCACUUUUGUCCGGAAAGAAAUCCUUUGGGCUAAUACCCCGGAGGGAUGACGGUACCGGAAGAAUAAGCACCGGCUAACUACGUGCCAGCAGCCGCGGUAAUACGUAGGGUGCGAGCGUUAAUCGGAAUUACUG
This 560-nucleotide ribosomal RNA is filed under the name Klebsiella pneumoniae. Its description in RNAcentral is "bacterial SSU rRNA". It matches the Rfam family "Bacterial small subunit ribosomal RNA", at positions 1 to 556 of the family's 1533-position model. The record is from RNAcentral. Lineage: Bacteria; Pseudomonadati; Pseudomonadota; Gammaproteobacteria; Enterobacterales; Enterobacteriaceae.